AGUCAUAUGCUUGUCUCAAAGAUUAAUCCAUGCAUGUGUAAGUAUAAGUAUUGUACAGCGAAACUGCGAAUGGCUCAUUACAUCAGUUAUUAUUUAUUUGAUAAUCGAAAGUUACAUGGAUAACCGUGACAAAUUACAGCUAAUACAUGCAGUCAGACCUGGUCCAAGGGUCGUAAUUAUUAGUAUUAAACCAUUUCCGAAAGGAGUGUGAUGAAUCAUAAUAAUCGAACGAAUCGCCUGUUGUGCGAUAAAUCAUUCAAGUUUCUGCCCUAUCAGCUUUGGAUGGUAGUGUAUUGGACUACCAUGGCAGUCACGGGUAACGGAGAAUUAGGGUUCGAUUCCGGAGAGGGAGCCUGAGAAACGGCUACCACAUCUACGGAAGGCAGCAGGAGCGAAAAUUGCCCAAUCCUGACACGGGGAGGCAGUGACAAGAAAUAACAACUCUAGGUUAUUCUUAGAAGUGUAAUGAGGAUAAUUUACAACCCUUACCGAAAGCAAUUGGAGGGCAAGUCUGGUGCCAGCAGCCGCGGUAAUUCCAGCUCCAAUAGCGUAUAUUAAAGUUGUUGCAGUUAAAAAGCUCGUAGUUGAAGUUCUGGCUGCUCGGUCCUCGAGCUCUGUAGCCGAGGAAUCGACAGUCAUCCGCUUGCAAAUAUAGUUCGCCUUUAACCGGGUGGCUAUAUGAGUAAGCAUUUUACCUUGAGAAAAACAGAGUGUUCCAGGCAGGUUUGUCCGGAAUGCAUUAGCAUGGAAUAAUAGAAUAUGACUGAAGUCUAUUUAUUGGUUUAAGGCUUUAGUAAUGAUUAAUAGGAACAGUCGGGGGCAUUGGUACUUGUCAGUCAGAGGUGAAAUUCUAGGAUUUGACAAAGACUAACAAAUGCGAAAGCAUUUGCCAAGGAUGUUUUCAUUAAUCAAGAACGAAAGUUAGGGGAUCAAAGACGAUCAGAUACCGUCCUAGUCUUAACUAUAAACUAUACCGACUCGGAUUCGGAUGAAUCAAAAAGUUCAUUCGGGACCGUAGGAGAAAUCAAAGUUUUUGGGUUCUGGGGGAAGUAUGGUCGCAAGGCUGAAACUUAAAGGAAUUGACGGUUUUGCACCACCAUGGAGUGGAGUCUGCGGCUUAAUUUGACAACACUGGGAAACUCAUCAGGGCAAGAAGAUUUUAGGAUUGACAGAUUGAGAGUUCUUUCUUGAUUGGUCUAGUGGUGGUGCAUGGCCGUUCUUAGUUGGUGGAGUGAUUUGUCUGGUUAAUUCCGUUAACGAACGAGACCUUAACCUGCUAACUAGUACACUGAUGACAAAUCAGUGUUACUUCUUAGAGGGACUAUGUGAUGUAAUCACAUGGAAGUUUGAGGCAAUAACAGGUCUGUGAUGCCCUUAGAUGUCCUGAGCUGCACGCGUACUACAAUGGUGCUUUCAACGAGCUUUUCCUGAUCCGAAAGGAUUUGGGUAAUCUUUUUAGUGAGCACCGUGCUUGGGAUAGAUCUUUGUAAUUAUGGAUCUUGAACUAGGAAUUCCUAGUAAGCACAGGUCAUCAGCCUGUGCUGAUUACGUCCCUGCAAAAUGUACACACCG
Molecule: ribosomal RNA, 1572 nt
Filed under: Vorticellides sp.
Lineage: Eukaryota; Ciliophora; Oligohymenophorea; Sessilida; Vorticellidae
Description: SSU rRNA
Rfam family: Eukaryotic small subunit ribosomal RNA
Source: RNAcentral